CAUUCCCGGGUCCAUUUCCCGCCUUUUUCCCCUCACACAUUCCCGGGUCCAUUUCCCGCCUUUUUCCCCUCACACAUUCCCGGGUCCAUUUCCCGCCUUUUUCCCCUCACACAUUCCCGGGUCCAUUUCCCGCCUUUUUCCCCUCACACAUUCCCGGGUCCAUUUCCCGCCUUUUUCCCCUCACACAUUCCCGGGUCCAUUUCCCGCCUUUUUCCCCUCAUGCACCCACAGUCGCCAUGACCUGCCUGGCAUGAGGCUGCUGUGACAAACUCAUCGUGGGAUGAAGCUGUCAGGACGGAGUGUGUCACCCUCAGAGAGGUGUCCUGUGGCUCGUGGAGUUCCAUGACCAUGCCCAGACUGUGACCAGGGACUGAAGCAGCCAUGGCCCACCAGGGAAUGCUGAGCAGCUGCAGAAAAAAAAGGCAAAUGUUCUCAGACCCAUGAAAACAUGGUGGGAGAUGGCGACUGACAGCGACUGCAAGACGAGUGAAAUAAAAAUCAAAUUUCAA
Long non-coding RNA from Vidua macroura (Pin-tailed whydah), 509 nucleotides. RefSeq lists it as uncharacterized. The record is from RefSeq and is a predicted model, not a curated record. Lineage: Eukaryota; Metazoa; Chordata; Aves; Passeriformes; Viduidae. The transcript is spliced from 2 exons.